GAUGAACGCUGGCGGCGUGCCUAACACAUGCAAGUCGAGCGGCCGGACGGGAAGCUUGUUUCUCUGAUGGUAGCGGCGGGCGGGCGAGUAACGCGUGCAUCACAUACCUCUAUGUCUGGGAUGACAUCGAGACGCCGGUUAUUAUAGCAGAUAAUACGUUACACCGGAGGGUGCAUAAGGGAAGGGGGGUCUUGUUGGCAUUUAUAGCCGGCCCCGCGCUGCAUUAGCUAGUUGGUAAGGUACCGGCUUGCCAAGGCAACGAUGCGUAGCCGACCUGAGAGGCUGAUCGGCCACACUGGAACUGAGACACGGUCCAGACUCCUACGGGAGGCAGCAGUAGGGAAUCUUCCGCAAUGGGCGCAAGCCUGACACAGCCACGCCGCGUGAGUGAUGAAGGCCUUCGGAUCGUAAAGCCCUUUUAUUAGGGAAGAACAUUUGUUGGAGUAAAUCUAGCCAUCUUGACGGUACCUAAAGAAAAAGCCACGGCUAACUACGUG
RNAcentral lists this ribosomal RNA (497 nucleotides) under uncultured bacterium. RNAcentral describes it as "partial 16S ribosomal RNA". It matches the Rfam family "Bacterial small subunit ribosomal RNA", at positions 28 to 507 of the family's 1533-position model. The record is from RNAcentral.